GGGGCUUGUGACGGCUACCGAGCUACUAAAAUAAAUGCCGCCUCAGAAAGCAAAAUAUAUUUGACGGCACUCAAAUGAAGCCAUCCGGAUGCCAGUAACAUACCUGGAGAGAAGAGGCAGAGGAAGACGAGCCCGAGCAGCAUCCUGACCACAGGACCACAGGGUCACUCUCACCGACUGUUCACUGUGAGAACUCAAACCAAACUGUCGCAGGGAGUAAACCACAUCCUGGAGAUGGACCCAAAAUCGAAAUCUCCUGAGAGAAAUCCCCUUGUAGGACACAGUGAGGGGCAGAUGAAUGGUGCUUUCGUUGAUCUCCUGUGUUGGACACAUCUGUUAAUAUUUUGACGCUAGUUUGAUUACGAGUGGAUGCCGUACCAUUAGAUCCCUGACUCUGAAGCUGAGCUCGUCAAUCAGCAGCAAAGGAAGGUAGAUGAUCCUUCGACCUUCCUGGGAACUGACGGAGGACAUGGAUGCAUCGGAUUGUGGCGGAUUUCUGGGAUUGGUAAAAAUUGUAACUUACAUUCUAAUGUAGCGGCGCACAUCACUGGGUAGUCCUCCUUUGUUGAAGGUGAAGUCCUCUGACAUCAUGGUGAUUGACAGUUGGGGCCUCCAAUGGGA
This is a non-coding RNA of Doryrhamphus excisus (bluestripe pipefish), 621 nucleotides long. NCBI's taxonomy places the organism in Eukaryota, Metazoa, Chordata, Actinopteri, Syngnathiformes, Syngnathidae. The record is from RefSeq and is a predicted model, not a curated record.